Molecule: long non-coding RNA, 220 nt
Filed under: Elaeis guineensis (African oil palm)
Lineage: Eukaryota; Viridiplantae; Streptophyta; Magnoliopsida; Arecales; Arecaceae
Description: long non-coding RNA (EGUI_LNC059617)
Source: RNAcentral
GCUCUUCAUUUUCUGUUUCAUUGGAUUUCUUAUUGAGUUGAGUAGUGGAUUUGAGGGCGAUUGUCCUCUUCUUCUUGACAUCUUCUUCUUGAUGUUGUUUCAUGCUUAGCUCAUGUAUCAUUAGUGAUCCUAGAAGCUCCUCCAAGGGUAAAACAUUCACAUCUUUGGCUUCUUGGAUUGUGGUCACUUUGGCCUUCCAAGUCCUUGGUAAAGAUCUAAG